Molecule: ribosomal RNA, 651 nt
Filed under: uncultured Delftia sp.
Lineage: Bacteria; Pseudomonadati; Pseudomonadota; Betaproteobacteria; Burkholderiales; Comamonadaceae
Description: bacterial SSU rRNA
Rfam family: Bacterial small subunit ribosomal RNA
Source: RNAcentral
UGCAAGUCGAACGGUAACAGGUCUUCGGACGCUGACGAGUGGCGAACGGGUGAGUAAUACAUCGGAACGUGCCCAGUCGUGGGGGAUAACUACUCGAAAGAGUAGCUAAUACCGCAUACGAUCUGAGGAUGAAAGCGGGGGACCUUCGGGCCUCGCGCGAUUGGAGCGGCCGAUGGCAGAUUAGGUAGUUGGUGGGAUAAAAGCUUACCAAGCCGACGAUCUGUAGCUGGUCUGAGAGGACGACCAGCCACACUGGGACUGAGACACGGCCCAAACUCCUACGGGAGGCAGCAGUGGGGAAUUUUGGACAAUGGGCGAAAGCCUGAUCCAGCAAUGCCGCGUGCAGGAUGAAGGCCUUCGGGUUGUAAACUGCUUUUGUACGGAACGAAAAAGCUUCUCCUAAUACGAGAGGCCCAUGACGGUACCGUAAGAAUAAGCACCGGCUAACUACGUGCCAGCAGCCGCGGUAAUACGUAGGGUGCGAGCGUUAAUCGGAAUUACUGGGCGUAAAGCGUGCGCAGGCGGUUAUGUAAGACAGAUGUGAAAUCCCCGGGCUCAACCUGGGAACUGCAUUUGUGACUGCAUGGCUAGAGUACGGUAGAGGGGGAUGGAAUUCCGCGUGUAGCAGUGAAAUGCGUAGAUAUGCGGAGG